UUCAGGAGAAAAUCUUGGUAGAUUCUUCGAUCCUACACCAACAUCUGAUCCCUUAGAAAUUGCUUGAAUUAAUUUUCCACGAAAUUUCCGCCGCACAAUAUUCUGAGGUCCUAAUCGUCCACGGAGGUUUGAUUCUCUCUGACAGUCUCAUGAUUUCCAGAAUCCGGCAAACUUUCAAUCAUGAAUGGUACUGCAUCAGAGUCUACCCUCGUCUUUCGUUCAACCUCUCUUCCGGUGAGCCAUCCUUCCUGAACUCCUCUUCAUGAGCCUCAUUGUUCCCCGAAAUUGGGAAUUGAUCAUGAGUAUGGCCAUACUUUCCACAUGAAAAACAAACAAGAUGCAAUCCCUCAUACAUUAUAUUCCACUCAUCACCAAAAGCAUCGAACGAAGGCAUUAGAGGCUUAAGUAGAUCGACUUCUACACAUAUCCUUGCAAAUCCCCCUUUAUCAUAAAUCGACGUCGACCAAUCCACCUUUAUAGUCUUCCCCACCAUCUUUCCAAUUCUUCUAAGAUUGAACAUGAUGAAACUCUAUAGGUAAGUCAGGUAUCUGAAUCCAUACAGCAAUCUUUCAUUAUAAAUUCGCUUUCCAAGGGUUGAAGUUUGGACGCCACCUUUGCACAAUCAAGUAAUGGUCACCAAUCAUCCAUGGACCCUCUUGAAACGCAUAAUCUGGAUCCUCCUUAUUUGCAAAGGAGACGAUGAAAUAUUCGUUACUUAAAGGAAUGAUCUUCAUUUUGCCUCGUGGCUUCCACAUCCUGAAAAGUCUACUUGAAUAACUCGUUUAGGAGGACUAGCACCCAAAACCUUUACUAUCACAAAGUUCAUCCAUGGCCGGCACCAUGCUGUAUACUCUUCUGCAGUAAAGCUUAAUUUAGGACUACAAUUAUGUUCACCCUCACCUUCUCCCUCAAAAGCAUCUUCAUCAGAUUGAUUCUUAUCCCACUCCUUUGCCUCCUUUAAAUUCAUUUUAUUGAAAUAAUUCUUCCAUCCAAUAGUAAUAUCAUCCUCUUCCUCAUGUCUGACGAGAAACCUAGCAACCCCGCCGGCCAGUAACUUAUCUUUAUAUGAGGGUGGUAUCAUCCUUUUCCUCCCCACGAGCAUAUUUGCCUUCCCAUCAGUCCCAACAUUUGUUGUGGCAGUCACAGAACUGUCAAACACAGCCAUCACUACCACUCAACAUCUCCAACAUUGUUUUGUCUCGCUCACGGCCUCCAUCUCGAUCAAUCUUGCAACCUUCAACCUCGUCACUGCACUGCACUCUACCCCCUCCAGAGCUCUCGCCCACCUCCAUCAUAGUCCAAUGACUAAAACAAUUUCUUCAAAUUUUCCAAAUCAACCACUAGCUAUUACUAAAAAUGUUGUUUUUCGUGAAAUUUUUGACAACUUUACAGGUUAAUUAUAAUAUUCUUUUCAUGUUCAUUUUCAAUUUGCCUUCAAAGAGAGUAUUUCGUGGAUUAUGAGUUUGCCUAUUUUACGAGUAUAUCAUUAUGUCUUUUUAGGUGAAUGAAGCACAUAGUUAACCAUAUGGUCUAUUAUAAGCAUGCUCCAUGACUAUAACUACAAUUAUUAAGAAUCUUGAGACCUCUUUUUGUUGGCAUUGCAAACGAUGCCCAACUAGUACCCGGAAACUAAAACUCAAUGAAGGCAACUACACUAUCCUAAAAGUUCAGGGGAAAGAUGGAAAGUGAAAGAAACUGCUCUCGUCUUGAAGUUUUAUUACCAAGUCAAGGAUGAGAUACGCACAAUCUCUCGUGUUCUUAGACCAAGUUGCAGCACAGUUAUUAAAGCACUCUGUUCAUGAAUUGAUGCAGCGUCCAGAUAGGGUUUGCAUUAUAUUUAAUGCUAUCCAAUGUUUUGGUUGUAAUUGUAAAACUCAAAAUCCUUAAAUACUUCCAUUUCAUUUCAAAACUGAAAAUAUUAUUCUAAUUUCUUAGAAA
Prosopis cineraria is the source of this 1938-nucleotide long non-coding RNA. RefSeq lists it as uncharacterized. NCBI's taxonomy places the organism in Eukaryota, Viridiplantae, Streptophyta, Magnoliopsida, Fabales, Fabaceae. The transcript has 2 exons. The record is from RefSeq and is a predicted model, not a curated record.